RNAcentral lists this ribosomal RNA (223 nucleotides) under uncultured bacterium. RNAcentral describes it as "partial 16S ribosomal RNA". It matches the Rfam family "Bacterial small subunit ribosomal RNA", at positions 115 to 334 of the family's 1533-position model. The record is from RNAcentral.
ACGUACGCAACCUUCCCAUAACUGGUGAAUAGCCUUUCGAAAGAGAGAUUAAUACACCGUAACAUAAUGAAGUGGCAUCACUUUAUUAUUAUAGGCAGCAAUGUCGGUUUUGGAUGGGCGUGCGCCUGAUUAGGUAGUUGGCGGGGUAACGGCCCACCAAGCCUGCGAUCAGUAACUGGUGUGAGAGCACGACCAGUCACACGGGCACUGAGACACGGGCCCG